Molecule: small nuclear RNA, 197 nt
Filed under: Thalictrum thalictroides
Lineage: Eukaryota; Viridiplantae; Streptophyta; Magnoliopsida; Ranunculales; Ranunculaceae
Description: U2 spliceosomal RNA
Rfam family: U2 spliceosomal RNA
About the family: U2 is a small nuclear RNA (snRNA) component of the spliceosome (involved in pre-mRNA splicing).
Source: Rfam by way of RNAcentral
AUACCUUUCUCGGCCUUUUGGCUAAGAUCAAGUGUAGUAUCUGUUCUUAUCAGUUUAAUAUCUGAUACGUGGGGCAAUGCCUCACACGAUAUUAAAUUAAUUUUUGAUAAGGGGAGGGUCCACCACAAUAGCUUGCUAUUGGGACCUUCAUGAGUCGCCCAUGCGUUGCACUACUGCAAGGGCCUGGCUCACUCCAC